RNAcentral lists this long non-coding RNA (474 nucleotides) under Mytilus galloprovincialis (Mediterranean mussel). The record is from RNAcentral. Lineage: Eukaryota; Metazoa; Mollusca; Bivalvia; Mytilida; Mytilidae.
UAACUUUAAUAUGUUAUUUGAUAAUUUAACUAACCUAGUUUUAAAUGUUUGGUAUUCCCCGAGGAUAUCACCAGCCCAGUAGUCAGCACUUCCGUGUUGACAUGAAUAUCAAUUACGUGCUCUUUUUUUUUUUUUUUUUAAAUUUCCUGUUACAAAACUUUGAUUUUUUUUUUGAAAAACUAAGGAUUUUGUAAUCCCAGAAAUAGAUUACCUUAGCCGUAUUUGGCACAACUUUUUUGGAAUUUUGGGUCCUCAAUGCUUUUCAACUUUGUACUUGUUUAGCAAUACAACUGUUUUGAUCUGAGCGUUACUGAUGAGUCUUAUGAAGACGAAACGCGCGUCUGGCGUAUUAAAUUAUAAUCCUGGUACCUUUGAUAACUCUUGACAGUUUAAACUUUAGAUAAUCUUUGAAAUUGUUUUCGUACCUCAUAAAAAGAACACAUACCCCGAGUUAAAAGUGUAAAUAGAUAUCCC